This 137-nucleotide small nucleolar RNA is filed under the name Microtus ochrogaster (prairie vole). RNAcentral describes it as "Small nucleolar RNA SNORA22 (ENSMOCG00000010452.1)". It matches the Rfam family "Small nucleolar RNA SNORA22". From Rfam's summary of the family: ACA22 is a member of the H/ACA class of snoRNA that guide the sites of modification of uridines to pseudouridines. The record is from RNAcentral. Lineage: Eukaryota; Metazoa; Chordata; Mammalia; Rodentia; Cricetidae.
UUGCACAGUGUACACCCAAGUGUGCUUUCUGUGGUUACCUUGGCCUUGAAUCUGUGCUAGAGUAAAGCCUCUUCUUUUCCUCUCCAAUGAAAGGGUACUGUGUCCUCUUAAAUGUGUUCAGAAAAAUUGGCAUAUCA